RNAcentral lists this transfer RNA (71 nucleotides) under Cyanidioschyzon merolae strain 10D. RNAcentral describes it as "tRNA-Gly(CCC)". It matches the Rfam family "tRNA". From Rfam's summary of the family: Transfer RNA (tRNA) molecules are approximately 80 nucleotides in length. Their secondary structure includes four short double-helical elements and three loops (D, anti-codon, and T loops). Lineage: Eukaryota; Rhodophyta; Bangiophyceae; Cyanidiales; Cyanidiaceae. The record is from RNAcentral.
GCGCUGCUGGUGUAGUGGUAACAUGGAAGAUUCCCAUUCUUCUGCCCCGGGUUCGAUUCCCGGGCAGCGCA